GAUGAACGCUGGCAGCAUGCUUAACACAUGCAAGUCGAAGGGGAAUGCGUUGUUUUUGUGGCUUGCCCGGGUGGCCGAGGGGUGAAUAACUAGAGAGUUACCUGUCCUUUCCGGUGUGACAACCUCAAACAACUGGUAACACUACCUACAAGUGCCUCCACGCAUAUGGCGGGGGAUGGAAAGAGUCGGCGGGUGGGGGUGGAGUCGCGGCUUAUCAUCUUGUUGGUGGGGUGGUGGCCCACCACGGCUUUGGCGGGUAGCCGGCCUGGGAGGGUGAGCGGCCACAUUGGGACUGUGAUACGGCCCAGACUCCUACGGGAGGCAGCAGUGGGGAAUAUUGCACAAUGGGCGGAAGCCUGAUGCAGCAACGCCGCGUGCGGGAUGACGGCCUUCGGGUUGUAAACCGCUUUCGCAUGUGACGAAGCGUGAGUGACGGUAAUGGGUAAAGAAGCACCGGCUAACUACGUG
Molecule: ribosomal RNA, 468 nt
Filed under: uncultured bacterium
Lineage: Bacteria
Description: partial 16S ribosomal RNA
Rfam family: Bacterial small subunit ribosomal RNA
Source: RNAcentral